CAAAUUGAUAUCAAAAUUAUAACUUCUGUUAGCUGUGGGACCCUUAAAAUAUCAUAAACAUUUAUCUUUUUUCUUUUUAGUUUUUAAAAAAAAAAAAACUUAAUUAAAUUAAAUAAUAGAAUUGAAGAACAAAUCCAACCCACACUAUCGUACUAUUAACAAAGAAGAGCGAUGAGGACGGCAGGCGACAAGGCGACGAGUGGCGAUAUACGACAGCGAUAGUGUUAGGCGAUGAGGAUGACAAGCGACGAGGCGAUGAACGGCAAGCAAUGAGGACAACAGUUGGCGUCAUGAGAGGGUGGUAUAUGGAGACAAGGUUCCAUUGAUUUGCCCGGAUGACAAGCUGCAUCAGAGUCUUUCCAAUUCUCAGGUCUGUAUAGAAUCCAAGGUCUCAAAUCUCCAAGGCCUUGAGCCACAUAGCCAAAGGUUGACCCCGAGCUAGUCACCAACACAUUACUCAAACUUAACAGAUUCAUUUCAACCCAUGCCUUCACAUUGUGCAUAUUAUCCCCAAAGUGUUGAUACUCUUCAUGGCUUGGCUGGUAAACCCCAAUUACUUCUCCUUUCCUAGUUGGAAAUGUCCAAUACAUGUUUGUCAUGUUCUCGUAGAAUUGUGGAUAUAAAGAUGCUAUUAGAACAGACUUUGAUGUUUGGUUUUUCGAUGGAGAAGCUACCAAUCGUUGUUUAUCUACUUCUGGCAGUAAAUUUUCCUGAAGAGUACAAGCUAAAAUCUGAUCCAUCACUCUUUGAAAUGGUUUAGCAUUGGGAUUAAAUACCCUUAUUUGCAUAGCAAUUCUUUCGUCUGACUUCGCUAAAUAAGACUGAUAAAACCUAGUGAUAAGUCCCCAAGCCUUAUUUGAAGGGUGGAAAAGAUAUCUGCCCAAGUGGUGGAAAACAGAUUCUUUGUCAGGAAACAUCUUGUCUAGCUCUUGUUGGAAAGAUGGCAUCAGGAAGAAAGAUGGAAUGAAAUAUUCAUCCGAUCUCAAGACCAACCAAGGAGCUUUCUGAAGAAGAGCAUGGUGUUCUUCACAGUAAAAAAGCAUAUCAAAAUUAGUAAGGCCGUAAGCCAGAAAAAUAUAUAAAUGUGAAGGUAGCAACUCGCUUGAUGCAUUAAAGACAUUGUUCUUCAGCGUAUUUCCAAGAGUAUCUGCGUUCCAUUGAUUGAAUUUUCUGAAUUGUUUGGGAAAGUUCGGAGGCAAUAACCAUGAUGUAUUGGGAAAUGGCUCACAAAAGAGAUCAGUCAUGUCCGCAUUAAAUUCAACAAGCAAAACUCUAUCAGUAAGGAGAGCGUAGAGAAAUGCUGAAGCAAUUGUUAAUAUUCUGUUCCCCAAGCCUGCUUGAGCUGUCCAGACUAUGUAAUUGCACUCUGUAGUACUAGAAAUGUUCCUCGAAUCAAGUACUAAAAGUGUUCUUUUAUAGGAUUCUGUGUCAGGUCCACAACGCUUGUGAAGAUUUUCAUAAUUACGGAGUUUAGAUAUGAGAUACGGAGAAGGCUUUUUCGAAGAAGGUUUUCGGUAUAAGACAGCUUCAGAUCUGCUUAGACAAGAAUCUUUAUCAAAUUCUGAAGCCAGUAGACCACCAAGUAGUACAUCAUCAGAAAUGCUAGCAGGUUCAUGUUCUGAACCUGUGAAAUAAAAAGAGAGAAAGAAAAUGAAUAAUCAAGCAUGAUUAUAAGAGGCAAAGCCAUCAAACAAGCAGCGAAGGAAAUGGUCCUCAUCGUACUCGAUCCCAGUAGUUUCCUCAUAGAAUUGGCUUCCAUUUUCAGAUAUGUGAACUCCAAUGACAAUGUCAACCUGAAAACAUUCAAACUUCAUGCAAAUUUUCGACCUUCUGAUGA
Long non-coding RNA from Ricinus communis (castor bean), 1837 nucleotides. RefSeq lists it as uncharacterized. NCBI's taxonomy places the organism in Eukaryota, Viridiplantae, Streptophyta, Magnoliopsida, Malpighiales, Euphorbiaceae. The record is from RefSeq and is a predicted model, not a curated record. The transcript is spliced from 3 exons.